RNAcentral lists this ribosomal RNA (144 nucleotides) under Colletotrichum gloeosporioides. RNAcentral describes it as "partial 5.8S ribosomal RNA". It matches the Rfam family "5.8S ribosomal RNA", at positions 30 to 154 of the family's 154-position model. From Rfam's summary of the family: 5.8S ribosomal RNA (5.8S rRNA) is a component of the large subunit of the eukaryotic ribosome. It is transcribed by RNA polymerase I as part of the 45S precursor that also contains 18S and 28S rRNA. The record is from RNAcentral. Lineage: Eukaryota; Fungi; Ascomycota; Sordariomycetes; Glomerellales; Glomerellaceae.
GCAUCGANGGAAANNACGCAGCGAAAUGCGAUAAGUAAUGUGAAAUUGCAGAAAUUCAAGUGGAAAUCAUCGAAAUCUUUGAACGCACAUUUGGCGGCCCGGCCAGGCAUUCUGGGCGGGGCAUGGCCUGGUUCGAGCGUCAUU